AGAUCGAUGACGACUCCCUCAAUCUGCAUUUCUUGGAAAAGUUGAACAAAAUGAGUGAGAACUCCCUACCGUCGUUCUGAUCAAAACUGAAGUCC
This 95-nucleotide small nucleolar RNA is filed under the name Canis lupus familiaris (dog). RNAcentral's name for it is "Small nucleolar RNA SNORD116 (multiple genes)". It matches the Rfam family "Small nucleolar RNA SNORD116". Rfam says of the family: HBII-85 is a member of the C/D class of snoRNAs, which contain the C (UGAUGA) and D (CUGA) box motifs. HBII-85 is encoded in a tandemly repeated array with another C/D snoRNA, HBII-52, in the Prader-Willi syndrome (PWS) region of chromosome 15. The record is from Rfam by way of RNAcentral. Lineage: Eukaryota; Metazoa; Chordata; Mammalia; Carnivora; Canidae. RNAcentral also lists the same sequence under 1 other name.